This 1129-nucleotide long non-coding RNA is filed under the name Sorghum bicolor (sorghum). RNAcentral describes it as "long non-coding RNA (SBIC_LNC017858)". Lineage: Eukaryota; Viridiplantae; Streptophyta; Magnoliopsida; Poales; Poaceae. The record is from RNAcentral.
GAGGCAGAGGCCAAUCAGAUUCAUUCUCGCGGAUCAGCCUCCACUGACUUUGAGGAUUAAUCUUAAGCACACAUUUAAGUCUGUUUGAUCUAAGCGUUAUGGUUAUUCCUAGGGGGUGGAAAGAUUAGUACAUCGCUAGUUCAAGGUAGAGGAGGGGUUGGAUGCCCCAUAUAAAUACAAGCCUGACCCCCCUGGGGAGUAGCUAAUUCUGAAGCUUUAAUUCAUAUUUUCCAGAGAGAAUUAGUUAGAGAGGGGUCCCUCGAAUGGAUAUGUCUCUUUAGGGUUUUAGCAACAAGAGAGGUUGAGAGAGUAUAGGUUGGAGAUAGAAGUGGAGGAAGCCUGGCCUGUCGGUGUCUUCUUCCUUGUAUCUAUGGGAUCAAGUCUCCUAACCCGAGGCUUGGUUCUAGAAUCAUUCGGCAAUUCGACUUCUAAUACUAGUAAGUUAUUGUUCUUAUUGUUCUUUUGUUUAUGAGUUUACUUUAUUCGCUUGCGCUUGGGAAUAGAGUAAUCGUUCGUAGUGUAAGCGUCGUGCUUGGUAUUAUGGUUUUCUCUUUAUCUUUUAUCUCAUCUUUUCUUUUUUCCUUUUCUUUUCUAUCCAUAUGGAUAACCCAAAUUCCACGCCCUUGGAUCAAACCGACUUAAACGUGCGCUUAAGAUUAAUCCUCAAAGUCAGUGGAGGCAGGAUCCCCGAGGUUCACCCUCAUUGGCUAAAAGCCCUAGGCGGCCGCCCGUGAUAGGGUGGGGCGCCCGCCCCUGCCUUAUGGCAGGUGGGCCCCACCUUUCAGGAGGUGUCUUCGUGAACCUUCUGGAGUAUUCGUGAGUUGACGUUUCACGUGUUCUCUCUAUGUAAAUCUGACAUGUGGACCUCCUUUUGUUCUUAUUCUAAUAACCCCCUACAGAAAUAGAGAAUCACCAAAACUUGUGGAAUUCUGUUAGUGAUAACCCCUAUAGCUAGAUAGUAUUCUCAUUUAAGUCCUUUCUCUUGCUAUGUUGAUGGUUAAAAAGAGUACUUAUCGACCGUCAACAUCGACAAAAUAAACUUAUCAGCAAAAAUAGUCGAUCAACUGAAGGAUACAGAGAGGAUGGACUUACUAGCAAUGGUAGAGUCUAACUCUCCUAAUUGUUCCUU